RNAcentral lists this long non-coding RNA (1273 nucleotides) under Homo sapiens (human). Its description in RNAcentral is "non-protein coding LINC00886:12". The record is from RNAcentral. Lineage: Eukaryota; Metazoa; Chordata; Mammalia; Primates; Hominidae.
GCUUUUCGGCACCACCCAAGAUGUACUAAUGCGCCUUGUGAAGACUCACUCCCGUGGCCUCUGGGGUUCGGCAUUGAAAGAGAGGGUGGGAGAGGAAAGGAAAGAGAAGGGGAAAGGGUAAGAAUGGCUUGAGUGAGAUCCCUAAGCUGUGAGCAAGUUCUUCAAAUUGAGUUUUCCUUUGAGGCAGACAUUUUCCAGUUAAACUUUAAACUCAAAAGCUUGUCCUAUUUAUCUCCAAAAUGCAGGCUAUGUGUCUCCCUCCUAAUUAGCAUGAAAUUAUUUCUUGUUUUUCCUUCAUUAGAAAUUAGGAUUUAUUUUUUUAAAGAUAAAAUUUGUAUUCCUGCUUAAUUUUUAGACUCAUUUGGAAGCAGUGCAUUUUUAUCAGAGGGACUGAAAAGCCUUUCGAGAAUCAGUCAAGAAAAAGGAAUGCGCAUGAGAGUCAUGGCACAAGGAAAUCCAACACUGAGGGGUCACAGCAGAGGGACGGAAAGCACCUGGAUCUUACAACAUUGUUGAGCUCUUUUGUCUCUUGACUUCUAGUUAUGAGAUGUAAUUUUCUUACUGUUAAAGUCAUUUCUGUUCCUUGCAACCAAAAGCAUUCAUUGAUACACUGAAUAUAGUACAAUAUUUAUUCAAUCAAUAAAUGCCUGGCAAAUUACCCAAGUAUGAGUAAUUGUAGUUUGUCUCACAGCUAUUCUUUCAAGUAAAAGUGAUGCUCCAUGACAAAAACGGCUAGUUUAGCUUGUAACACAAACAACUGCACAAGUGCUUUUCCUUCAGACAAGUAUUGUACUUUCAUAUGUAACAGAUGUAUGUGCUUUAUGCAUGUUCCCAUUUCAUAACACAGAGUAUUAGAAACAUGUAUACUUCAGGGUUGAGAUCUCAUAAAAUGAGUAGUUUUCACAGCUUCAUUGAGGACACUCUUAAAUGAAACUGGCAGGUUUUUUUUUUUGAGUACUAGGAAAUGGGUGGCAGUAAAGAAUACAGUAACUAUUAAUAUAGUGUGGUGCUACUGCCUUGAAUUGUGCUAAGGCAUCGGCAGUUUUCGUCAUCAUUGCUUUGACAUCAUCAGUGCAGGUGUCAAUACAGUGAAAAAGGUAAAUGGCAUCUUGGUGUGAUUAUGGAAAUAGAUUGAUCUAAUGGACCGCCUGAAGUAGGCUUGGCCUCCCCAGGGAUCUUAGAGAACUGCUAUAGUAGGUGAUUACUUGGGAAACAAAAUCUCUUAGGAGAAGUUAUGGAUACAAAAUGGUUAUUGUUGAGGCCUGGAAGAGAC